Molecule: ribosomal RNA, 460 nt
Filed under: uncultured bacterium
Lineage: Bacteria
Description: partial 16S ribosomal RNA
Rfam family: Bacterial small subunit ribosomal RNA
Source: RNAcentral
CCUACGGGAGGCAGCAGUGAGGAAUAUUGGUCAAUGGGCGUAAGCCUGAACCAGCCAAGUCGCGUGAGGGAUGAAGGUUCUAUGGAUCGUAAACCUCUUUUAUAAGGGAAUAAAGUGUGGGACGUGUCCUAUUUUGUAUGUACCUUAUGAAUAAGGAUCGGCUAACUCCGUGCCAGCAGCCGCGGUAAUACGGAGGAUCCAGGCGUUCUCCGGAUUUAUUGGGUUUUAAGGGUGGUUAGGCGGCACUUUAAGUCAGCGGUGAACGUCUGUGGACCAAACAUUGCAUAGCCGUUGAAACUGGGUGGCUUGAGUAUGCUUGAGGCAGGCGGAAUGCGUGGUGUAGCGGGGAAAUGCUUAGAUAUCACGCAGAACCCCGAUUGCGAAGGCAGCAUGCCAAGCCAUGACUGACGCUGAUGCACGAAAGCGUGGGGAUCAAACAGGAUUAGAUACCCGGGUAGUC